Molecule: ribosomal RNA, 1332 nt
Filed under: uncultured bacterium
Lineage: Bacteria
Description: bacterial SSU rRNA
Rfam family: Bacterial small subunit ribosomal RNA
Source: RNAcentral
GACGAACGCUGGCGGCGCGCCUAACACAUGCAAGUCGAACGAGAGAUGAGGAGCUUGCUCUUCAAAUCGAGUGGCGAACGGGUGAGUAACGCGUGAGGAACCUGCCUCAAAGAGGGGGACAACAGUUGGAAACGACUGCUAAUACCGCAUAAGCCCACGGCUCGGCAUCGAGCAGAGGGAAAAGGAGCAAUCCGCUUUGAGAUGGCCUCGCGUCCGAUUAGCUGGUUGGUGAGGUAACGGCCCACCAAGGCGACGAUCGGUAGCCGGACUGAGAGGUUGAACGGCCACAUUGGGACUGAGACACGGCCCAGACUCCUACGGGAGGCAGCAGUGGGGAAUAUUGCACAAUGGGGGAAACCCUGAUGCAGCGACGCCGCGUGGAGGAAGAAGGUCCUCGGAUUGUAAACUCCUGUUGUUGAGGAAGAUAAUGACGGUACUCAACAAGGAAGUGACGGCUAACUACGUGCCAGCAGCCGCGGUAAAACGUAGGUCACAAGCGUUGUCCGGAAUUACUGGGUGUAAAGGGAGCGCAGGCGGGAGAACAAGUUGGAAGUGAAAUCCAUGGGCUCAACCCAUGAACUGCUUUCAAAACUGUUUUUCUUGAGUAGUGCAGAGGUAGGCGGAAUUCCCGGUGUAGCGGUGGAAUGCGUAGAUAUCGGGAGGAACACCAGUGGCGAAGGCGGCCUACUGGGCACCAACUGACGCUGAGGCUCGAAAGUGUGGGUAGCAAACAGGAUUAGAUACCCUGGUAGUCCACACCGUAAACGAUGAUUACUAGGUGUUGGAGGAUUGACCCCUUCAGUGCCGCAGUUAACACAAUAAGUAAUCCACCUGGGGAGUACGACCGCAAGGUUGAAACUCAAAGGAAUUGACGGGGGCCCGCACAAGCAGUGGAGUAUGUGGUUUAAUUCGACGCAACGCGAAGAACCUUACCAAGUCUUGACAUCCCUUGACGAUGCUGGAAACAGUAUUUCUCUUCGGAGCAAGGAGACAGGUGGUGCAUGGUUGUCGUCAGCUCGUGUCGUGAGAUGUUGGGUUAAGUCCCGCAACGAGCGCAACCCUUAUGGUCAGUUACUACGCAAGAGGACUCUGGCCAGACUGCCGUUGACAAAACGGAGGAAGGUGGGGAUGACGUCAAAUCAUCAUGCCCUUUAUGACUUGGGCUACACACGUACUACAAUGGCGUUAAACAAAGAGAAGCAAGACCGCGAGGUGGAGCAAAACUCAGAAACAACGUCCCAGUUCGGACUGCAGGCUGCAACUCGCCUGCACGAAGUCGGAAUUGCUAGUAAUCGUGGAUCAGCAUGCCACGGUGAAUACGUUCCCGGGCCU